This 467-nucleotide long non-coding RNA is filed under the name Hordeum vulgare. RNAcentral's name for it is "long non-coding RNA (HVUL_LNC007108)". Lineage: Eukaryota; Viridiplantae; Streptophyta; Magnoliopsida; Poales; Poaceae. The record is from RNAcentral.
GUAAAAAGUUGGGGUUUAUAUCAUAUUGCAUGAAUUUAUCCCUCUACAUCAUGUCAUCUUGCUUAAGGUGUUACUCUGUUUGUUAUGAAGUCAAUACACUAGAUUCAUGCUGGAUAACGGUCGAUGUGUGGAGUAAUAGUAGUAGAUGCAGAAAGUAUCGGUCUACUUGUCUCGGACGUCAUGCCUAUAUGUAUGAUCAUUGCCUUAGAUAUCAUUAUGACUUUGCCCGAUUCUAUCAAUUGCUCGACAGUAAUUCGUUCACCCACCGUAAUACUUGCUAUAAUGAGAGAAGCCUCUAGUGAACACUAUGGCCCCCGGGUCUACUUCACAUCAUAUUUUCAGAUCUACACAAUUACUUUGUUGCACUUUCCACCUUCAGAUCUCACCUUGCAAAUAAUCGUGAAGGGAUUGACAACCCCUUUAUAGCGUUGGGUGCAAGUUUGCUUGUUUUUGCGCAGGUACAUUGG